UACGUAGGUGACAAGCGUUGUCCGGAUUUACUGGGCGUAAAGAGCGCGCAGGCGGUCGAUCAAGUCGAGUGUGAAAGCCCCCGGCUCAACUGGGGAGGGUCAUUCGAUACUGAUCGACUCGAAGGCAGGAGAGGGUAGUGGAAUUCCCGGUGUAGUGGUGAAAUGCGUAGAUAUCGGGAGGAACACCAGUGGCGAAGGGCGACUACCUGGCCUGUUCUUGACGCUGAGGCGCGAAAGCUAGGGGAGCAAACGGG
RNAcentral lists this ribosomal RNA (254 nucleotides) under uncultured bacterium. RNAcentral describes it as "partial 16S ribosomal RNA". It matches the Rfam family "Bacterial small subunit ribosomal RNA", at positions 524 to 776 of the family's 1533-position model. The record is from RNAcentral.